UAGGACACAAUAUCCAUACAAUCAAAUAAUGAAUCAUUCUCUCUUCAACCUUGAAACCACCAACAACCAGUUGCCUACGGUUAGUCUGCUGUUCAGGAUGGCGUAAGAAGGAUUGAAAAGCCAUCAGUCAGUUGAAGUCUGGAAUUCCAAGAUGAACUUUCACAACAUCAUCCCUAAUGGUCAAUUGAGCAACAUUGGUCCACACAUCAUCAUCCAAAAUUAUGCGAUCGCCUUUCACUUUGGUGGAUAUAAUCCCG
RNAcentral lists this long non-coding RNA (257 nucleotides) under Vigna radiata. RNAcentral's name for it is "long non-coding RNA (VRAD_LNC017111)". Lineage: Eukaryota; Viridiplantae; Streptophyta; Magnoliopsida; Fabales; Fabaceae. The record is from RNAcentral.